GACGAACGCUGGCGGCGUGCUUAACACAUGCAAGUCGAACGGAAAGGCCCUGCUUUUGUGGGGUGCUCGAGUGGCGAACGGGUGAGUAACACGUGAGUAACCUGCCCUUGACUUUGGGAUAACUUCAGGAAACUGGGGCUAAUACCGGAUAGGAGCUCCUGCUGCAUGGUGGGGGUUGGAAAGUUUCGGCGGUUGGGGAUGGACUCGCGGCUUAUCAGCUUGUUGGUGGGGUAGUGGCUUACCAAGGCUUUGACGGGUAGCCGGCCUGAGAGGGUGACCGGCCACAUUGGGACUGAGGUACGGCCCAGACUCCUACGGGAGGCAGCGGUGGGAGAUAUUGCACAAUGGGCGGAAGCCGUGUGCAGCAACGCCGCGUGCGGAAUGACGGCCUUCGGGUUGUAAACCGCUUUCGCCUGGGACGAAGCGUGAGUGACGGUAAUGGGUAAAGAAGCACCGGCUAACUACGUG
Molecule: ribosomal RNA, 468 nt
Filed under: uncultured bacterium
Lineage: Bacteria
Description: partial 16S ribosomal RNA
Rfam family: Bacterial small subunit ribosomal RNA
Source: RNAcentral